GGAGGCUGGCGGCGGACGGACCGAUCGCCAACCGGGUCAGGUCGGGAACGAAGCAGCCCUAACGAUUUUGGAACGGGUCGCUGUCCAGUCUCCGCC
RNAcentral lists this signal recognition particle RNA (96 nucleotides) under Henriciella sp. RNAcentral describes it as "signal recognition particle sRNA small type". It matches the Rfam family "Bacterial small signal recognition particle RNA". Rfam says of the family: The signal recognition particle (SRP) is a universally conserved ribonucleoprotein involved in the co-translational targeting of proteins to membranes. RNAcentral also lists the same sequence under 2 other names. Lineage: Bacteria; Pseudomonadati; Pseudomonadota; Alphaproteobacteria; Hyphomonadales; Hyphomonadaceae. The record is from RNAcentral.